GACGAACGCUGGCGGCGUGCUUAACACAUGCAAGUCGAACGGAAAGGCCCUGCUUGCAGGGUACUCGAGUGGCGAACGGGUGAGUAACACGUGGGUGAUCUGCCCUGCACUUCGGGAUAAGCCUGGGAAACUGGGUCUAAUACGGAUAGGAGGCAUUUUUAGUGUGAUGGUUGGAAAGGUUUUUUGGUGGAGGAUGAGCUCGCGGCCUAUCAGCCUGUUGGUGGGGUAAUGGCCUACCAAGGCGGCGACGGGUAGCCGGCCUGAGAGGGUGGACGGCCACAUUGGGACUGAGAUACGGCCCAGACUCCUACGGGAGGCAGCAGUGGGGAAUAUUGCACAAUGGGCGCAAGCCUGAUGCAGCGACGCCGCGUGGGGGAUGACGGCCUUCGGGUUGUAAACUCCUUUCGCUAGGGACGAAGCUUUUUGUGACGGUACCUAGAUAAGAAGCACCGGCUAACUACGUG
Molecule: ribosomal RNA, 464 nt
Filed under: uncultured bacterium
Lineage: Bacteria
Description: partial 16S ribosomal RNA
Rfam family: Bacterial small subunit ribosomal RNA
Source: RNAcentral